This 202-nucleotide ribosomal RNA is filed under the name Ehrlichia sennetsu. Its description in RNAcentral is "Neorickettsia sennetsu partial 16S ribosomal RNA". It matches the Rfam family "Bacterial small subunit ribosomal RNA", at positions 597 to 798 of the family's 1533-position model. Lineage: Bacteria; Pseudomonadati; Pseudomonadota; Alphaproteobacteria; Rickettsiales; Anaplasmataceae. The record is from RNAcentral.
AAAUCCUUGGGCUUAACCCAGGAACUGCAUUUAAAACUGCGGGACUCGAACGUGAGAGAGGGCAAUGGAAUUUUUGGUGUAGGGGUGAAAUCCGUAGAUAUCAAGAGGAACGUCAGGGGCGAAAGCGAUUGCCUGGAUCACAGUUGACGCUGAGGCACGAAAGCGUGGGGAGCAAACAGGAUUAAAUACCCUGGUAGUCCAC